AGAGAGAUGUAUCUCCGCAUGACCUGAAAGCUGCAAAGCCAGGCAGGGGUUGAAAGUGAGCAAAUCUCCGUUCACGUCUCUCUGGACGAAAAAGGAAUAACACAAUUCCAAAUCCCUCUUCACAUUUCCAAGGU
Non-coding RNA from Pogona vitticeps (central bearded dragon), 134 nucleotides. Lineage: Eukaryota; Metazoa; Chordata; Lepidosauria; Squamata; Agamidae. The record is from RefSeq and is a predicted model, not a curated record.